GGGAGUAUAGCCCAACUAGGCAGAGGCAUAAGACUAAGAAUCUUAUCAGUAUGAGUUCGAAUCUCAUUACUCCUACCA
This 78-nucleotide transfer RNA is filed under the name Chloroflexota bacterium. RNAcentral's name for it is "tRNA-Leu". It matches the Rfam family "tRNA". Rfam says of the family: Transfer RNA (tRNA) molecules are approximately 80 nucleotides in length. Their secondary structure includes four short double-helical elements and three loops (D, anti-codon, and T loops). Lineage: Bacteria; Bacillati; Chloroflexota. The record is from RNAcentral.